AACAUAUGAUGGAGGGAGGUAUUUCUUGAAGGGGAGGGGGGUGCUGCAUCAUUCAUGAAAUUUUGUCGCCAUUUGAGUUCUGAUCAGAUGCUGUAUUGAUUGAACCUUUAUAAGCUCAUCGUUGCUUUUACUAUCUGGUGUUCUCUGAAGGUAUUGUUUGAAUACAUUCAUUACUUUUAACUCCAAUUAUACCAGAGGCCUCGCGGAUGUCGCUCUUUUGAUGGGAUUACGCCAUCGCAGCUGGCAAUCUGUUCAUCUUUGUUCAAUUAGAAAAGACUCGGGAACUGUUCUUUCUUCGCAGGAUCGUGAGUAUUUCGAGGAGCAGGCUCAGCAGCAGUGAUCACCGUUCAUUCCAUUCAGUUCUCCAUUUCACUUAUCUUAGGUAGUUAUUUGAUUGAGAUUUUCUUGUAAAUCUCUUGUGGAUCUUCAGACUAUGAAUGUUUUAUUUUCUUCCAUUUUGGAUAGUUGUGGACUCGUCACAGACCUCUGAAAUUUUAGAUAUUUCUUUAUCUAUCAGUUUCCUUU
This is a long non-coding RNA of Asparagus officinalis (garden asparagus), 525 nucleotides long. RefSeq lists it as uncharacterized. NCBI's taxonomy places the organism in Eukaryota, Viridiplantae, Streptophyta, Magnoliopsida, Asparagales, Asparagaceae. The transcript has 2 exons. The record is from RefSeq and is a predicted model, not a curated record.